Long non-coding RNA from Papaver somniferum (opium poppy), 140 nucleotides. RefSeq lists it as uncharacterized. The record is from RefSeq and is a predicted model, not a curated record. The transcript has 3 exons. NCBI's taxonomy places the organism in Eukaryota, Viridiplantae, Streptophyta, Magnoliopsida, Ranunculales, Papaveraceae.
UAGAACCAAGGAAAACAAGGGAGCAACGGGUAGCUAUAUACAAAAGGGAGUUUUCUCAAAAUUGUGUCAAGGUUGCCAGAUUGAGUGAGCGUGGUACUGUAAUCUACCGUUACAUACCAACGCGGUCUUUUUGGAUGAGA